This 644-nucleotide long non-coding RNA is filed under the name Gallus gallus (chicken). RNAcentral's name for it is "lncRNA (ENSGALG00010014158.1)". Lineage: Eukaryota; Metazoa; Chordata; Aves; Galliformes; Phasianidae. The record is from RNAcentral.
GAGGAAUAAGAAAAGGAAAUGAGCGUAGGUGAGAACAGUAACAAAUAAAGCGCUGAUGAGUGCUACCCUCUAACAUCUCCUUGACCAGCAGAAGUGAGACAGAGCUAUUUCUCUCUGUCCCAAAACUUGAAGGUUACUUCCUGAGAAAAUGGAGAUGGCUGGAAAGAAAGGGGAGUUUGGAGCUAUGGAAGUUGUUCCGCUGUUGUGGAAUAUGAGGAUCAAGGGAGGAAAGGGUGGUGAUGUUAGAAGGAUGCUCCUGUGAUAAUACGUGCCUCGAUUUAAGACUUCCUACAUUUCUACUGCUGUUUAGCUACAGCUGUUAAAAAAAUGGUACUAUAUCCUCCCUGGAUGACAGUGAAUCAUAUAAAAUGAACCCUAAGGAAACUGUAUGAAAGAGAAAAUGAAGAACGUAAGUAGUGGAAGACAAAUCACAUGGAGUAAUACAGUUACUGUGAACUUCUCAUAUCUUCUCCUUUUAGCCUCCAAACAUAACACUGAAAUUGCUGUACAAGAAACCCCAAUCAGUGAGAGUAUUAUAUGAAACAAUGUGAAAGACAAGAACAGGCUUCAAAGUCAUGUUUCAACUUAUGAACUAUAUGCAUAGUAUUAGGAAAAAUGGAAUCAGUUAUUAUAUUAUUUGCAUG